UUCACAAGGGGGUGGGCCUUGGACGGCGUAUAUGAUUGAGGAUAAAUGAGAUGUUAAACCAUUUGGAGACAACGGUGGUGGAGAUGUAGCCGUCCUGGCGGACAGCCCCAACUCCCAUGUUUGGUGAGGGGAGGACGGGGGCUGUGGAUGUGGAGGACAGCCGUGCGAGGAAAUGCGCGGAAAGAAACGAGCGGACCCGUUAGAUUAGAAAAUGGACGGGUCCAGUGGGACGUCACGAUGCGAUGUCGCCACAAAGCUCAAUACGCCGCUCAUAAACGCGCUCAUUUGGCUCCCAGCAUGCCGCACGUCCGGAGGGACCGCUGGUUACCAGAAGCUCAUCCAAGCCCAGUGGAACCCACCCUGCUGCAUCUGAGGAGGAAACAAAACUUUUGAAAGCACCAUCAGAAGUGAAGAUGAGGGCUUCCUCCAACUUCCAGGUUUCUGAUCAGUCUGGAGUUGGGAAUCAUCAGAUCUUUGCCUCUCAGACUCUUUUGGACUGUGACUUUGAGCCGAGUAAUGUACGCUGCACACAGGACUACAUCAUUAACCGUGAAAAUACAGGAGGAAACACACAGAUUUUGUGAAAGCAGGCAGACAGUGGGCAGAGUUAAAACGGUCAGGUCUUAAAACUGGUAAUGGAUACAAAAGUAACCGUUUUCGGCUGCUGCAGCAGAACAUCUGUUUCUGAAUGAAGACAGAAACAAACAAGACAGAAGAUUUUGAUACAAGUGGACAAACAUUUGGCCAUCAUGAGGCUAAAGCUGAGAGAGUAAAGUACAAUAAAGUGAUUUGCGUAUGUGUGUGUGUGUGUGUGUGUGUGUGUGUGUGUGUGUGUGUGUGUGUGUGUGUGUGUGUGUGUGUGU
This is a long non-coding RNA of Perca fluviatilis (European perch), 863 nucleotides long. RefSeq lists it as uncharacterized. The transcript is spliced from 3 exons. The record is from RefSeq and is a predicted model, not a curated record. Lineage: Eukaryota; Metazoa; Chordata; Actinopteri; Perciformes; Percidae.